Camelina sativa (false flax) is the source of this 1963-nucleotide long non-coding RNA. RefSeq lists it as uncharacterized. NCBI's taxonomy places the organism in Eukaryota, Viridiplantae, Streptophyta, Magnoliopsida, Brassicales, Brassicaceae. The record is from RefSeq and is a predicted model, not a curated record.
ACAAAAAAAAAAAACAAAAACAAAAAUAAAAGAAUAAAAUGAAACGACAAAAACAUCAUUCUUGCCGUCUCCGCCUUCAGUUUCGCCUGAGAAAACAAUUUCUUAUUUUACCUGUCAGCCAAUGGAUCUCUUCCUUGAUACAUUUUCCUUUUCCUUCAUUAUUCUCAAUUCUACCUUCGAUUCCUAUUUCUUAUGAAUGUCUAAAUCUUCUGAGCUUAAUCCUAUGACCAUCAUAGUUUUACAGAGGAGAGAAACAAAAAAGAAUGGAAAGCAUUGUUAUGGGAUGUGAGAUUAACGCAUGCACGCAGUUCAAUUGCAACAGCAAAAGCCUCUUUAUAAUGGCUUAUCAAGCCUUGAUAUCAGAAACAUGUGUGAAACCAUCGGUGGCAGCCAUGACUUAUACGAAGGUAAAAGAAGAAUAAGAGAGUGUUUGGAUACACUUAUAAUAUAUCAAGGAUCCGAAUGAGAUUCUCCCAAACAGUUACGAUCCGCAUUCCAUAUACAAUUAAAUUUACCUUGUUGCCCUUAAAUUUUUUUUUUCCUCUUCUUCCUUUAUUUGCUCGUAGGGUCAAAUUAUAGAAUUUUUUGGCAAAGUUUUUUUUUUUUCUUCUUUUGUACUCCCGAGUUAAUAGUAUAGAUUUUCGUUAAAACCGUAGCCAACAGUCUUGUUUUCACACGUCUCCGAAACCAUUGAGAUAAGUAACCUCAUGCUUCAUUGUUUAUCGCUUCGUUCAAAGCAUAUUUAAUUAUUGUUUCAUGCAAUAUGUUUAUUACUACUAAAUAACAUCAAUGAAUCUAGUAAGUAUGUGGACACAGAUUCUUUUUCAUACAAAAAAAAAACCCUUUCUCUCUCGACGAGUCGCCCUAGCCGCCAAACACCAAAAAUUCAGAUCUGAGUUUGCCCUCUCCGGUGAGCGGCGCUCUUCGCCGGAGCCGUGAGAGGGCCUUUGUAGCUUCCCUUUAGGUUGGUUCUUGUCUUAGUUGCGGCCUCAGCUGUCUCCGGUGUUUCGAUUGUAAGAUCAGCUUGCUGCGGUUCUCGAUGGUUCUUCAAGUCAAGGGUUGAUUUUCCCGCCUUCUUCUCAGAGAGUGUGGAUCUCCCUUUCCCAGCGGUGGCAGAGGAGGGAAGACUUGUCUUCGUCAGAUCCAGCGUGAGCUAGGAUCUCGUCGUUUGACCUUCUCCUUUUUGUUUGCUUGGUUGUUGUUCUCAGUCUGGUAAGCUUUUGUUCUGAUCGAUUUUCUUCUCCGAGUUGCUAGAGGGUUAGUAGUUUAGUAUGGGUUUGCUAGAGGUAGAUGGAAUCGCUCUUUGGACGUUCUUAGUAUUACCGUUCUGUUUUAGUAGCCUUCGUUUGGGUUUUCGGCUCCUUGCUAAGCAGAGGUUUCGUUUUGAUUGAAUGUGCUGGUAGUCUCCAAAGUUUGUAGAGUUAUAUUCUUCUUGGUGUUGUUCGGUGUGGUGAUAGCUGUCUUGAGUAUUGCGUCGUUCUCGAUCAGUUUGGUGUUUCUUGAGAAGUUAGGCCUCUUUCCUUGUACUUGCUUUCGGGAUCUGUUGAGAUCUGUUUGCGUAUGAAAGGCUUUAGUUUGGCGUUUCCUUGGCGUACCAACGUCGUCGUCAUCUCCGGAAGCAGAGUUGCUUGCCGGCUUAUGAAGUCUUGAGAGAUCGGCUCUCACCAUGAUAGGAGGGGUUGUUGUUACUUCGGUUUGGCCGUGGGCAUCCUUGGUAAAGCUCAUUUGCUGGUGCUUCAGAAGAAGAGAUGCUUUGUUUUCUUUGUUAUACUGUCUCUUUUUAGGUUGUAAUACCGGUUACUUCUGUGUUUAGUUUAAGGUUUCGUUUUCUUUCGUUUUGGUUGUAGUAGUUCUUUCUUAGACUCCGGGGACAUCAAUGUCGUCCGCCGGCUUUAGCUUUGUAUUUCACCUUUGGUUUCACAACAAGUACUAAUAAAAAUUCCAGUUGACCAAAAAAAAAAAA